RNAcentral lists this ribosomal RNA (611 nucleotides) under Cronobacter sakazakii. RNAcentral's name for it is "partial 23S ribosomal RNA". It matches the Rfam family "Bacterial large subunit ribosomal RNA", at positions 2064 to 2675 of the family's 2925-position model. The record is from RNAcentral. Lineage: Bacteria; Pseudomonadati; Pseudomonadota; Gammaproteobacteria; Enterobacterales; Enterobacteriaceae.
GUGUACCCGCGGCAAGACGGAAAGACCCCGUGAACCUUUACUACAGCUUGACACUGAACAUUGAGCCUUGAUGUGUAGGAUAGGUGGGAGGCUUUGAAGCGUGGACGCCAGUCUGCGUGGAGCCGACCUUGAAUACCACCCUUUAAUGUUUGAUGUUCUAACCUGGCGCCGUGAUCCGGCGUGGGGACAGUGUCUGGUGGGUAGUUUGACUGGGGCGGUCUCCUCCCAAAGUGUAACGGAGGAGCACGAAGGUCAGCUAAUCCUGGUCGGACAUCAGGAGGUUAGUGCAAUGGCAUAAGCUGGCUUGACUGCGAGAGUGACGGCUCGAGCAGGUGCGAAAGCAGGUCAUAGUGAUCCGGUGGUUCUGUAUGGAAGGGCCAUCGCUCAACGGAUAAAAGGUACUCCGGGGAUAACAGGCUGAUACCGCCCAAGAGUUCAUAUCGACGGCGGUGUUUGGCACCUCGAUGUCGGCUCAUCACAUCCUGGGGCUGAAGUAGGUCCCAAGGGUAUGGCUGUUCGCCAUUUAAAGUGGUACGCGAGCUGGGUUUAGAACGUCGUGAGACAGUUCGGUCCCUAUCUGCCGUGGGCGCUGGAGAAUUGAGGGGGGCUGC